Molecule: ribosomal RNA, 465 nt
Filed under: uncultured bacterium
Lineage: Bacteria
Description: partial 16S ribosomal RNA
Rfam family: Bacterial small subunit ribosomal RNA
Source: RNAcentral
GACGAACGCUGGCGGCGUGCUUAACACAUGCAAGUCGAACGGAAAGGCCCCUUCGGGGGUACUCGAGUGGCGAACGGGUGAGUAACACGCGAGUAACCUGCCCUUGACUUCGGGAUAACUUCAGGAAACUGGGGCUAAUACCGGAUAGGAAUCCUUGCUGCAUGGUGGGGGUUGGAAAGCUUCGGCGGUUUUGGAUGGACUCGCGGCUUAUCAGCUUGUUGGUGGGGUAGUGGCUUACCAAGGCUUUGACGGGUAGCCGGCCUGAGAGGGCGGCCGGCCACAUUGGGACUGAGAUACGGCCCAGACUCCUACGGGAGGCAGCAGUGGGGAAUAUUGCACAAUGGGCGGAAGCCUGAUGCAGCAACGCCGCGUGCGGGAUGACGGCCUUCGGGUUGUAAACCGCUUUCAGCAGGGGCGAAGCUUGUGGUGACGGUACCUGCAGAAGAAGCACCGGCUAACUACGUG